GUUGGAUUAUCUCUUCAACCAGGUUGGAUUAUCUCUUCAUGGGCACGCAACACCAGUUUCUAUGACAACAGGGUGAUGUGUCAUCUGGUGCGCCGUGUUGCGCGCUUGACAUGAUGACAUCAUCGCUUGGAGCCGCCGGGCCGGGUGCGUGGUCCCGCUACCGAAAUGGCGCCAUUCACUGAUGGGUGUGGGGAUAUAAGGUAACAGCUAUCAUGUACCUGAUGAGGAGGAGCAGGAAGCCCAUAAGGAGCAAGAAGAGGCGGCAUCAGAGGAGGAGGCAGAUAAGGCGGCUAAGCAGAGGAGCUGCCAACAACAGCAAAUGAGGCCUCAGCUAUAUCCGAGUUGGGACAGGGUCCUUUUUUCCCCACAACUCCCAGGGAUCAGCAUGAGAUCCCAGCGCAUGGGCUCCCGGAAUUCAAAAUACCAAUUCCGGGAUCCCGCUGAUUAAAAGUCGAUAGGGGUGAUCUCCCCUCACCCCACCCCUAACCCUCCCUUCCCGCAGCCUAACCCUAACCUCCCCCAGGAGGUGCCUAAACUUAACCUCCUAUCCCCGCUGUCUAAACCUAACGUUCACCACCUGUACCCUAACCCUAACCCUCUGAGGGAAUGUGCCUAACCCUAACCCCCUCUCCUCGCAGCCUAACCCAAACACCCCAGAAUGCAACCUAACCCUGACCCCCCCCCCCCACCCCAGAUC
This is a long non-coding RNA of Pseudophryne corroboree (corroboree frog), 697 nucleotides long. RefSeq lists it as uncharacterized. Lineage: Eukaryota; Metazoa; Chordata; Amphibia; Anura; Myobatrachidae. The record is from RefSeq and is a predicted model, not a curated record. The transcript has 4 exons.